UGCAAGUCGAACGGUAACAGCACUUCGGUGGCUGACGAGUGGCGAACGGGUGAGUAAUACAUCGGAACGUGCCCGAGAGUGGGGGAUAACGCAGCGAAAGCUGUGCUAAUACCGCAUACGAUCUACGGAUGAAAGCAGGGGACCGCAAGGCCUUGCGCUCAUGGAGCGGCCGAUGGCAGAUUAGGUAGUUGGUGGGAUAAAAGCUUACCAAGCCGACGAUCUGUAGCUGGUCUGAGAGGACGACCAGCCACACUGGGACUGAGACACGGCCCAGACUCCUACGGGAGGCAGCAGUGGGGAAUUUUGGACAAUGGGCGAAAGCCUGAUCCAGCCAUGCCGCGUGCAGGAUGAAGGCCUUCGGGUUGUAAACUGCUUUUGUACGGAACGAAAAGGUCUUUUCUAAUAAAGAAGGCUCAUGACGGUACCGUAAGAAUAAGCACCGGCUAACUACGUGCCAGCAGCCGCGGUAAUACGUAGGGUGCAAGCGUUAAUCGGAAUUACUGGGCGUAAAGCGUGCGCAGGCGGUUAUAUAAGACAGAUGUGAAAUCCCCGGGCUCAACCUGGGAACUGCAUUAGUGACUGUAUAGCUAGAGUGCGGCAGAGGGGGAUGGAAUUC
RNAcentral lists this ribosomal RNA (616 nucleotides) under uncultured bacterium. Its description in RNAcentral is "bacterial SSU rRNA". It matches the Rfam family "Bacterial small subunit ribosomal RNA", at positions 56 to 669 of the family's 1533-position model. The record is from RNAcentral.